AUAUUAUAUAAAAUUAGCAAAACAGUGACAGUAGUGACGUUCAAAGCAUGCAAAAAUGUUUUAUGAGUAAAUUUCGAGAAACCGGCGAAAAUACUUUGUUUACAAGGNNNNNNNNNNNNNNNNNNNNACCAUAGAAAUAAUAGAUAUAGAAUGCGUACUCCUAUCUUUUCUCAGUGAAAAAUUUGUCUCCACAAAAUGGCGGAUUUAUAAGGGCAUUUUGGUUCCCAGACUCCCAGGCGGCAGGGAAUUUCAGUGGGAAUUUCGCGCGGUUGCAGAGAGUGCAAAUUGUUUUUUCAAAUGCAAAGUUUGCAAAAAUUUUAUAUCGAGACUUAAAAUGGAAAAAAAAGUGCAAAAAGUGUCUAAAAACCCAUUCUAGUGGGCUUUUUUACGAAAAGCAACAGUUCUGAACAGAAUAUAUACAGAAAUCAUCGUUUAAAAAUAAAUUUUCAACGUUGUUGUGCAAGGCAAAACAAAACCCGAAAGAUCAAGACAAACUCAAACUCAAUAGGUAUGUUCUAUAAAUAUUUCAACGUUUU
RNAcentral lists this long non-coding RNA (536 nucleotides) under Paramuricea clavata. Lineage: Eukaryota; Metazoa; Cnidaria; Anthozoa; Malacalcyonacea; Plexauridae. The record is from RNAcentral.